GGGGAUUUAGCUCAGUGGUAGAGCGCUUACCUAGGAAGCCCAAGGCCCUGGGUUCGGUCCCCAGCUCCGGGGGAAAAAAAAAAAAAAAAAGACUGCUCUUCCUGGAAGUCCUGAGUUCAAUUCCCAGCAACCCCA
This 135-nucleotide transfer RNA is filed under the name Rattus norvegicus (Norway rat). It matches the Rfam family "tRNA". Rfam says of the family: Transfer RNA (tRNA) molecules are approximately 80 nucleotides in length. The record is from Rfam by way of RNAcentral. Lineage: Eukaryota; Metazoa; Chordata; Mammalia; Rodentia; Muridae.